GACGGAGGGGGCUAGCGCUGUUCGGAAUGACUGGGCGUAAAGAGCGCGUAGGCGGUUUAUUAAGUGAGGCGUGAAAGCCCUGGGCUUAACCUAGGAGGUGCGCUUCAUACUGGUAAGCUAGAGUACGAGAGAGGAAAGCGGAAUUCCUAGUGUAGAGGUGAAAUUCGUAGAUAUUAGGAAGAACACCAGUGGCGAAGGCGGCUUUCUGGCUCGUAACUGACGCUGAGGCGCGAAAGCGUGGGGAGCAAACAGG
This 253-nucleotide ribosomal RNA is filed under the name uncultured bacterium. RNAcentral's name for it is "partial 16S ribosomal RNA". It matches the Rfam family "Bacterial small subunit ribosomal RNA", at positions 524 to 776 of the family's 1533-position model. The record is from RNAcentral.